UACGGAGGGUGCAAGCGUUGUUCGGAAUCACUGGGCGUAAAGCGCGUGUAGGUGGUCUUUUAAGUCUGGUGUGAAAGCCCGGGGCUUACCCCCGGAAGGGCACUGGAGACUGGGAGACUAGAGUACCGGAGAGGAAGGUGGAAUUCCUGGUGUAGCUGUGAAAUGCGUAGAUAUCAGGAGGAACACCGGUGGCGAAGGCGGCCUUCUGGACGGCUACUGACACUGAGACGCGAAAGCGUGGGGAGCAAACAGG
Molecule: ribosomal RNA, 253 nt
Filed under: uncultured bacterium
Lineage: Bacteria
Description: partial 16S ribosomal RNA
Rfam family: Bacterial small subunit ribosomal RNA
Source: RNAcentral